CCACACAUCUCCUCCCCUCAGCCUGACUCAUAAUCCCCUUAUACUGUACACAAAUUCCCCCAGUUUCUGGAUGUACCCCUAAACCUAGGGGUACCCCUUUAAAUGGCACAUCCCCUGGUAGCCCUGAUCUGGGUGAGCAACAUAUCCAAAAAUCACCCAGAUCGGACCAGGGGUUCGGGAAAUUCGUGGAGGUAAUAAAAAGACCGACCGCGCUAGAGAGAACAGCCGAAUUGGGCUCCAUGCGAUGGGGCCCUGCGGUCGGUCACAGUAUAAGGGAAUAAAUU
Pelobates cultripes (western spadefoot toad) is the source of this 284-nucleotide non-coding RNA. Lineage: Eukaryota; Metazoa; Chordata; Amphibia; Anura; Pelobatidae. The record is from the annotation of a GenBank genome assembly.